Molecule: long non-coding RNA, 5359 nt
Filed under: Sus scrofa (pig)
Lineage: Eukaryota; Metazoa; Chordata; Mammalia; Artiodactyla; Suidae
Description: lncRNA (ENSSSCG00030038043.1)
Source: RNAcentral
UCACGAGGUGAAAAUGCACUUCCAAAUUCUUAAGACCUAUGUCACUGUGCCUGUACCCUUCUCCAUGCCUUCAUCCACCCAUGUAAUGGCCACACACAUCUCGUGGCCAUGUAUACCUUGUAUGUGAGGGGUCAGUGACAUAUUAUUGGAAAAGAGCAGUGUGUGGUGCCUGGUUGUGGGAGUGCUCCAGAAAUGUCCUUUCUUGAUUUCCCUUUUCCUCAAAGUUGUGCUUGAAACCUGCUAUCAAUACUGAGGCCUGAUCUUGGUGGAAAUGGGGGUGUUGCCCUACUUUUUCAUUUGAAAGGCUCUUACUCUUAACUUGAGAAGUAAAUUUAGCUCCACGGAGCACUUGAGAGAAAUGUUUACUUUACUGAAGAUAUGGUGGGAAUUCAGGAAGAAUUCACAGUCCAUCCUAUACUGAAAAACACAAUGAAACAUCUAUUAGACUUUUCUUCUGAUGCAGACUAAUUGUUGCUGUUUUUGCCAGUUUUCUUGUCUCCCUUUCUUCUUUUGCCUUAAAAUCCUCUCUGCUUUCCUGAGCAAUUCAUCUCAGCAUUUCUUGUUUUAUUCCAGAACAUCCUUUUAGGAUCGUUUUGUUUUUUUAGAUGUUCAUCCUUUAGUCAUUCCUUGGAUAAGAAUCUAUUAAUGGUCAAGUGUCUCAGUUUUUAUUUAGCCAAGAUGUUUUUAUUUUCUUAUUUUCAAAAGAUGAUAUUUCUGAGAAAACAGUUCUAGACUGACAGUUAUUUUCUUUCAGAUGCUGAGGAGUGGUUCCACUGUCUUUUGGUUUCAUUGUUUCUGUUGGAAGUCUGCUGUAAGAUCACAAUCCUUCUGUGGUGGGUGAUCUGUUUUUCCUUUUGUGUUGCUUUCAAUAUUUUCUCUUUGGCUUUGACAUUUUACAGUUUCAUAGAAUAUGCCUUGUAUAUGUGAUUAUUUAUAUUUUCUUUUAACCUUGCCUGAUGUAUUAUUCUUCCUGUCUCUGCAGAUCCAUGUCUUUCAUUAGUUCUGGCAUUUUCUUAGUUACCAGCUCUUCAAUAGGGUCUCUCUCCAUCUCUCCCUUCCUCCCUCCCCUCCCGUAUUCUUUAUUUUCUCUCCUGUAUAAGUCUUUUUCGAUGUGUGGUAGAACUUCCCAUUCAUUCCCCCUUUUCUCUUUCUGUUUUCUAUUUUCUUAUUUUGUGGGUGUGUGUACUGAAUUCUCAGUUUUUUCUUCAGAUCUGUCUUUAGUUAAAUAAUCCCCUAUUCAUCCAUGUUUGUUUUGCUGUUUCAUAUAUCCAUUAUUUCAUACACAUACACAUGCAUGCAUAUGUAUGAAUGUGUCUAUCUCAUGUAUGUGUGUAUAUAUAUUUAUAUUUGUUUUUAAUUAAAUAUAGUUUUAUUUUUAUUUCCUUAAGUUUUAUUUGGUUCUUUGUCAGAUCUAUUUGGUCACUUAUUCUUGUCCUUUUUUCAAAAGUUGUUCAUUUUUCCAUUUUUAUUUCUUUUAACAUUUUAUUCAUAGUUAUUUUAUGUUUUGUAUCUGAUGAUUUAAAUAUUUGAAGUUCUUAGGGGUUUAAAUCAUGCUUUCUCUUUUUGCUGAUUCCCACUUAUGAUGGUGAUUACUUUGUAGUUUGGUGAAUUUUUUCCUUUUAAAAAACAUAUUUAACUAAACUUAAACUGUGGUAGUCUUCAUGUACCUGGGUUAAGAAGGCUUUGCUCUGGUGAGGAUUUGCAUUUUCCUCUGCCAGGCACACAAGUGUUAACAAACUGAGACCACUUUAUUUUCCUUGUUUGGGAUUUUCAAGAUUAGGUGGGUAGCAAAAAUUUGAACCUGAGGUUCAUGUGACAGCAGGUUCAUGGUUACAAAUUCCCAGGGGAGACCAUCACUAUUACUUUUUAUUUUAUUUUAUUACUUUUUUCUUUUUAUGGCCACACCUGUGGCAUGUGGAAGUUCUCAGGCUAGGGGUUGAAUCAGAGCUGCAGCCUAUGCCACAGCCACUGCAACACCAGAUCCAAGGCACAUGUGUGACCCACACUGCAGCAUGCAGCAACACUGGAUCCUUAACGCACUGGGUGAAGCCAGGGAUUGAACCCGAGCACUCACAGAGACAAUGCUGGGUCCUUAAUCCAGUGAGCCUCAAUGGGACCUCUCAUCUCUAUACCUUUAAAUUUUUAUUGUUAUUACUAUUAAGAAUGUUUCCACCUGGAGCUCUGCUGAAAACGGAUUUCCCUCUGACUUGUUUGGCCAACAGAUAUGUGUUUUCCUAGCCCAUUCUUUUCCUGGAGAGUAAACCCUUCGUUCAUGAUUUAGCAAUUCUCUGAUUCCUCUCCCACUUGAUAUAGAUCAAAGAUCCCAUUUCUCUGUACAACCAUUAAGGAUUUUCUUAAAGGAUCAGAGGAAAUAUUGUAAGUUUUCAGGCUGUGUGGUCUCUGUUGUGACUCAGCCUUGCUGUUGUAGCACAAAAGCAGCCACACAUGAAUGAAAUGGGCAUAUGCCAAUAAAAAUUUAUUUACAAAAGCAGGAGGUUAACCUCUUGUGCUGUGGUUUGUUAAUUCCUGAUCUAGAAUCCUGGUAUUGGCAUUUGCUUCCUGAAUAGCCCCAGCUGCUGAAUUUUCUUACUUUUUUGCCCAUGGCUUAUUUUGUUUUGUUUUAUUUUACUUUAUGUUUAUGGGAGUUUCCCUUGUUAACCAAUUCAUUUAAUAUUGCAGUUUAUCCAGCAUCUCAGUGUUUCACAAUGAAAAGAUUUUUGAAAUAGCUGGUCUUCUGCAUUUCUUAUAGCAAAACAAUGAUUUAUCUCUCCCUUUGAGCUUACAUACCCCUUCAGCUAAGUAAAACCUGGUAAGUUAGCUAACAGACAACCAUCCUAUUUUUCCUUAAGCAUCUCCCCUAGUUCUUCAGCAUCUUAUUGCACCAAUUUAUCGCUCCUCUUCCAUCUGAGAGUUUGUUGGCUCAGGUUAGCAACAUUUCAGAAGAGAUACCCCAGGAUUCUGACCUCUCUCCUGUCAUGUCAGAGGAUAGAGUAGAAGAAAUUUGGGUGCUCUGUGAGUGUGGCCCUCCAAAAUCUCUUUUAGUCUGUUUACUGGGGCUCUCCUACCUGUUUUUCACUGCUCUAAGGGCUGGGGUUUACAGAUAGGAAAAAUGGAAAAAACCCCUCUUCUCUUGAACAUGGCAUUUUAAUGGGGAAGGAACAGAAAGUAAAUAAAUGAAUAAAAUCAGAAAAUAUCAGGAAAUGCUAUGCUGAAAAUGACAAGGUGUUUUAAUAGCAAAUGACUGGCAGGGUUUUUUUUAUCAUUAUUUCUUUGAUUGGAUUGUUUGGGAGGGGUGCUCAGUGAGGAGGCAACAUUUAAACCUGAUUUGAGUAACUUAAAGGACCAAGCUCUUUAAAAAUCCAAGUCAGGGGAAUUAAACAUAGAGUAAGAGCCAGUGCAGAAGCUGUAAAAUUAGGAGUAUUUUUGGAGGUCAAAGGGAAUGCUAGUGUGGCUGAGAUAGAGUAAUAUAGAAUAAAAUGAAAAAAAGUCUCAAGGAGUUCCUGCUGCGGCACAGUGGUUUAAGGAUCCAGCAUUGGUUUUCAGUGGCUCAGGUCACUGCUGAGGUGUGGGUUCAGUCCCUGGCCUGGUAGCUUCCAUAUACCAUGGGUGCAGCCAAAAAAAAAAACCAAAAAAAAAAACAAACAAACAAACAAACAACAACAACAAAACAAAACAAAACGAAAAACCUCAAAAAGAAAAAUGGGAAUCUGAGAAACAGUGGAACAAACCCAGCAGUGUAAUGAAAGGAACCCCAGGAUGACAGCUGCGAAGCAGUCCUAGGAAACAAUGGGUCCAAAUGAAUAUAGGACACCCACAGGCCCAAUAAAGAAGGACUUUAAUAAGAAAGGAGGUUACAUUACACACAUUAUAUGAUUAAGAACCUGGAAGAUUUUCAUGAUAAGACAGACGCAUAUGUCUUCUGUUUAUUAAAAAAAGAGAAAUGCAAUAGAAAUUGUAAGGAAAAUAAAAAUUUUAUAAGAAAUUUAUAGUUCAAAUAGGAAGUAAGUUGAAAUGUGGCAUGAUUUAGAUCAGUUGAUGUAAUUUAAGAAAAGAGAACACAUUUGAUCUUUUUUUUUUUUUUUUUUUUUUUGGUCUUUUUAGGGCCACACCCAUAGCAUAUGGAAAUCAGAGCUGUAGCUGCCGGCCUAUACCACAGCCAUAGCAAUGUGGGAUCCGAGCCAAGUCUGUGACCUAUACCACAGCUCAUAGCAAUGCUGGAUUCUUAACCCACUGAGCGAAGCCGAGGAUCAAAUCCAAGUCCUCAUGGAUGCUAGUUGAGUUUGUUACCACUGAGCCAUGACGGGACCACCCACAUUUGAUCUUUUUAAAUUGAAAUAUAGUUAACAUGCAGUAUUAAGUUAGUUUCAGGUGUACUAGAAGAUGAUUUGAUAUUUACAUACAUUAUAAAAUGAUAACCAUGGUAACCUAGUAACCAUCUGUCCCCAUCCAAUUAUUACAAUAUUAUUGACCAUGUUCCUUAUGCUGUAUGUUACAUCUGUGACUUAUUUCUUUUUUUUUAAUAAAGAUCUUUAUUUUUUCCAUUAUAGUUGGUUUACAGUGUUCUGUCAGUUUUCUACUGUACAGCAAAGUGACCCAGUCCACUUAUUUCUUACAUAACUGGAGGCCUGUUCCUCUAAAUCCCCUUCAUCUACUUUGCCCAUCCCCUCAUGCCCUUCCCCUACUUUGUUUUCUGUAUCUAUGUUUUUGUGGUUUUUUUUUUAAUUAAAAAAAUUUUUUUUGUCUGUUUUUAGGGCCAUACCCUUGCCAUAUGGAAUUUCCCAGGCUAGGGGUCAUAUUGGAGCUGAGCCGCCAGCCUACACCACAGCUCAUGGCAACGCCAGAUCCUUAACCCACUGAGUGAGACCAGGGAUCGAAUCCAAGUCCUCAUGGAUACUAGUCAGGUUUUUACCACUGAGCCACAAGGGAACUCCUGUUUUGUUUUUCAGAUCCACACAUAAGUGAGAUCCAGUGGUAUUUCUGUUUUUUUGUCUGAUUUAUUUCACUUAAUGCAGUGCUGCAGGGUCCAUCCAUCUUUCCUUCUUUUCAUGAGUAAUAUUCUAUUAUCUGUAUGUUAUACAUAUUAUAUAUAGCAAAUUUUCUUGGAGUUCCUGUUGUGACUCAGCAGGUUAAGAAUCCGACUAGUAUCUAUGAGGACUCAGGUUCGAUCCUUGGCCUCACUCAGUGGGUUAAGGAUCCAGUGUUGCUGCAAGGUGGUGUAAGUCACAGAUGCGGCUCAGAUCUAGUGUUGCCAUGGCUAUGGUGUAGGCUGGCAGCUGCAGCUCCAAUUUGACCUCUAGCCUGGGAACUUCCAUUUGCCACAGGUGUGGCCCCAAAAAAGAAAAAAAGAAAAAGAAAAAAA